RNAcentral lists this ribosomal RNA (345 nucleotides) under uncultured bacterium. Its description in RNAcentral is "partial 16S ribosomal RNA". It matches the Rfam family "Bacterial small subunit ribosomal RNA", at positions 338 to 682 of the family's 1533-position model. The record is from RNAcentral.
CCUACGGGAGGCUGCAGUGGGGAAGAUUGCACAAUGGGGGAAACCCUGAUGCAGCGACGCCGCGUGAGUGAAGAAGUAAUUCGUUACGUAAAGCUCUAUCAGCAGGGAAGAAACACGGACCUGACGGGCAGCAGACGGUACCUGAGUAAGAAGCCCCGGCUAACUACGUGCCCGCAGCCGCGGUAAUACGUAGGGGGCAAGCGUUAUCCGGAUUUACGGGGUGUAAAGGGAGCGUAGACGGUGCGCCAAGUCUGGAGUGAAAGGCCGCAGCUUAACGGCGGAACUGCUUUGGAAACUGGCGACCUCGCGUGCGGGUGGUGUAAGCGCACUUCCUAGUGUAGCUGU